RNAcentral lists this ribosomal RNA (425 nucleotides) under Verrucomicrobiota bacterium. RNAcentral's name for it is "Verrucomicrobia bacterium partial 16S ribosomal RNA". It matches the Rfam family "Bacterial small subunit ribosomal RNA", at positions 355 to 776 of the family's 1533-position model. The record is from RNAcentral. Lineage: Bacteria; Pseudomonadati; Verrucomicrobiota.
UGAGGAAUAUUGGUCAAUGGGCGAGAGCCUGAACCAGCCACGUCGCGUGAAGGAAGACUGACCUUACGGUUUGUAAACUUCUUUUGUAGAGGGGUAAUGGCAGAUACGUGUAUUUGCGUGAAAGUACUCUACGAAUAAGCAUCGGCUAACUCCGUGCCAGCAGCCGCGGUAAUACGGGGGAUGCGAGCGUUAUCCGGAAUUAUUGGGUUUAAAGGGAGCGUAGGCUGUUUGUUAAGCGUGUUGUGAAAUGUAGGAGCUCAACUUUUAGAUUGCAGCGCGAACUGGCAGACUUGAGUGCGCACAACGUAGGCGGAAUUCAUGGUGUAGCGGUGAAAUGCUUAGAUAUCAUGACGAACUCCGAUUGCGAAGGCAGCUUACGGGGGCGCAACUGACGCUGAGGGACGAAAGCGUGGGGAGCAAACAGG